GCGAGGGUGGCGAAACUGGCAGACGCGCUAGACUUAGGAUCUAGUGGUAAUACCGUGCGGGUUCAAGUCCCGCCCUUCGCA
Molecule: transfer RNA, 81 nt
Filed under: Candidatus Riflebacteria bacterium GWC2_50_8
Lineage: Bacteria; Candidatus Rifleibacteriota
Description: tRNA-Leu
Rfam family: tRNA
About the family: Transfer RNA (tRNA) molecules are approximately 80 nucleotides in length. Their secondary structure includes four short double-helical elements and three loops (D, anti-codon, and T loops).
Source: RNAcentral